CGUGACUAUUUGUAAAACAGUUACAUGUGUAUAUUUAUUUUUUUUAAGCGGAUACGUGCAAUAUACAAAAGUCAGGGGUUUACAAUAUUAUUACUGUCGUCUCGCGUUUCGUGGAUUUUCCGUCCGUCUGAUACAAAAUAACAAUUUCAAUAUAAAUCAACUGUGUCGAAUUAUCGACCGAACCGAUAAAAAUAUAAUCUAAUUUGACAUUUAGUUUUUUUUUUUGAUCAAUUUACCAAAAAAAAUGAGUGGAAAUUCUACCUAGGCUGUAUAAUAUAUUAUACAGGGUUUCCUACAGUGUUCUGU
This is a non-coding RNA of Cinara cedri, 306 nucleotides long. Lineage: Eukaryota; Metazoa; Arthropoda; Insecta; Hemiptera; Aphididae. The record is from the annotation of a GenBank genome assembly.